This 381-nucleotide long non-coding RNA is filed under the name Polistes fuscatus (common paper wasp). Its description in RNAcentral is "uncharacterized LOC122516993". The record is from RNAcentral. Lineage: Eukaryota; Metazoa; Arthropoda; Insecta; Hymenoptera; Vespidae.
CGGCUAACGAACCCUGGAGUGCGCGCACGCGCGCCAUAUCGAACGGUUCUGCGAAAGCUCAGAUCGUUAAAAUAGAAUUCAAAGCGCGCUUGGAUAGAAUUUCGAUGUGGGGGAGGAGAGGUGGUGUUCUUUGAGAGGGGGCCAACGACACGAUGCAGACGGAUUCAUCGAUUGGCAUAGGGUGAUUCGAGUGGUGGGGUUCGUCGACUCCAUUUCGACAUAUUUAUAUAUAUACACUCCCUCUAGUAAAUAUGUGUGUAUUUGUAAAUGUACAGGGUGUCAUUAAAUCCUUGUUAGAUAGAAAUAUUAUCAAUUUUAUGAACUGAAAUUUAAAUUUUUUUUUUUAAUUUUGGUACUUCAUUGAUUUUUAGACUCUUAAAA